This 273-nucleotide ribosomal RNA is filed under the name uncultured Acidothermus sp. Its description in RNAcentral is "partial 16S ribosomal RNA". It matches the Rfam family "Bacterial small subunit ribosomal RNA", at positions 524 to 796 of the family's 1533-position model. The record is from RNAcentral. Lineage: Bacteria; Bacillati; Actinomycetota; Actinomycetes; Acidothermales; Acidothermaceae.
UACGUAGGGUGCGAGCGUUGUCCGGAAUUAUUGGGCGUAAAGAGCUCGUAGGCGGCUUGUCGCGUCUGCUGUGAAAUCCCGGGGCUUAACCCCGGGCGUGCAGUGGAUACGGGCAGGCUGGAGGCAGGCAGGGGAGAACGGAAUUCCCGGUGUAGCGAUGAAAUGCGCAGAUAUCGGGAGGAACACCGGUGGCGAAGGCGGUUCUCUGGGCCUGUUCUGACGCUGAGGAGCGAAAGCGUGGGGAGCGAACAGGAUUAGAAACCCCAGUAGUCC